CCCCCCCUGUGGUUUUGUAGUUUCUCACUUUGCCCCCUUUGUGGUUGAAAAUGUAUCAAAUUGCCCCCCUGUGGUUUUGUUUUUAUCUUUUGGAUAGCUUUUUCGUUAAUAUUUUAUUAAAUUAUAUACAAAAAACUUCAGAUACCCAUCUAGAUUUAUCAAAUAUUUAUUUUAGUACCCUUUAAUUUUAACUUUAUCACUGAUUUAAGAAAAAAAAAUAAUAAAAUUGAUAAGAAAAAGAAAAAAACGAAACCACAUGGGACAAAUUGAUACAUUUUUAACCACGGGGUUAAAGUGAGAAACUACGAAAUCACAGGGGGGUUUUUGAAGUUUUUUCUAUUAUUUACUAGAAUUUUAAAAUAGGAGGGACAAGAUUUAUUCAUUUUUUUUGGAUGUACAAGUAAAAAUAAGAAUAAAUUUUAAAUACUGAUAGUAUUUGAAGUUUCUCUAAAAAUAACUAGGAUUAAUUUUAUACAGAUCUCUGCAAACAUAGUGAAUUAUAAAUAUGUCCCUACAAAGUUCAACUUUUAUAUAUCGUCCUUUCAAAAGUGCUAAUAUUUUUAAAUAUGCUCUUCUAAUUUGUUACCGUUAAAGCACUAUCUAUAUUAUAAGUAAAAUAAUUUUUCUACCAUCACAAAAACACCCCUCUAACAGUCACAACUGUUAAUUGAAGAGUGAUAAAAAAAUCAAUUCACCUCAUUAAUUAAUUAAAAUUAAGUAUUUAAUUUAUGAUUAAUUAAAAUUUUCUAAUAAAUUAUAAUGACAUUGAAAACUCUAGGACUUUUACGGAAACAAUAAAUAAAAGUUGAAUUUUGUAGAAAUAUAUUUAUAAGUUACUAUAUUUGUAGGGACCCAUACGUAAUUAAUCCAAAAAGCAAUAGGU
RNAcentral lists this long non-coding RNA (883 nucleotides) under Ananas comosus (pineapple). Its description in RNAcentral is "long non-coding RNA (ACOM_LNC018441)". The record is from RNAcentral. Lineage: Eukaryota; Viridiplantae; Streptophyta; Magnoliopsida; Poales; Bromeliaceae.